RNAcentral lists this ribosomal RNA (468 nucleotides) under uncultured bacterium. RNAcentral's name for it is "partial 16S ribosomal RNA". It matches the Rfam family "Bacterial small subunit ribosomal RNA", at positions 28 to 507 of the family's 1533-position model. The record is from RNAcentral.
GACGAACGCUGGCGGCGUGCUUAACACAUGCAAGUCGAACGGAAAGGCCCUGCUUUUGUGGGGUGCUCGAGUGGCGAACGGGGGAGUAACACGUGAGUAACCUGCCCUUGACUUUGGGAUAACUUCAGGAAACUGGGGCUAAUACCGGAUAGGAGCUCCUGCUGCAUGGUGGGGGUUGGAAAGUUUCGGCGGUUGGGGGUGGACUCGCGGCUUAUCAGCUUGUUGGUGGGGUAGUGGCUUACCAAGGCUUUGACGGGUAGCCGGCCUGAGAGGGUGACCGGCCACAUUGGGACUGAGAUACGGCCCAGACUCCUACGGGAGGCAGCAGUGGGGAAUAUUGCACAAUGGGCGGAAGCCUGAUGCAGCAACGCCGCGUGCGGGAUGACGGCCUUCGGGUUGUAAACCGCUUUCGCCUGUGACGAAGCGUGAGUGACGGUAAUGGGUAAAGAAGCACCGGCUAACUACGUG